This 204-nucleotide unclassified non-coding RNA is filed under the name rhizosphere metagenome. RNAcentral's name for it is "partial ribosomal RNA internal transcribed spacer region". The record is from RNAcentral.
UGAACGAUCGGGGGCAGGAUCCAAACUAAGGCACAUUGUGCCUUCUUUUGCCCCUGCCCUGUCUGAAUAUACCCAUGAUUUUGCGUACUAUUUGUUUCCUAGGUGGGCUUGCCCACCCACUGGACACUUAAAACCUUUUGUAAUUGCAGUCAGUGUCAGAAAAAUAUAAUCGUUACAACUUUCAACAACGGAUCUCUUGGUUCU